AUUGAACGCUGGCGGUAGGCCUAACACAUGCAAGUCGAACGGCAGCACAGUAAUAGCUUGCUCUUACGGGUGGCGAGUGGCGGACGGGUGAUGAAUACAUCCGAAUCUACUUUUUCUUGCGGGAUAACGUAGUGAAACUUACGCUAAUACCGCAUACGACCUACGGGUGAAAGCAGGGGAUCUUCGGACCUUGCGCGAUUGAAUGAGCCGAUGUCGGAUUAGCUAGUUGGCGGGGUAAAGGCCCACCAAGGCGACGAUCCGUAGCUGGUAUGAGAGGAUGAUCAGCCACACUGGAACUGAGACACGGUCCAGACUCCUACGGGAGGCAGCAGUGGGGAAUACUGGACAAUGGGGGCAAGCCUGAUCCAGCCAUACCGCGUGGGUGAAGAAGGCCUUCGGGUUGUAAAGCCCUUUUGUUGGGAAAGAAAAGCAGCAGGUUAAUACCCCGCUGUUCUGACGGUACCCAAAGAAUAAGCACCGGCUAACUUCGUG
This 492-nucleotide ribosomal RNA is filed under the name uncultured bacterium. RNAcentral describes it as "partial 16S ribosomal RNA". It matches the Rfam family "Bacterial small subunit ribosomal RNA", at positions 30 to 507 of the family's 1533-position model. The record is from RNAcentral.